Molecule: long non-coding RNA, 778 nt
Organism: Canis lupus familiaris (dog)
Lineage: Eukaryota; Metazoa; Chordata; Mammalia; Carnivora; Canidae
Exons: 4
Source: RefSeq, a predicted model, not a curated record
AAGUCCAUGGGCGGGUCUGGGGCCUGCUGUCCUGGCUGCUCUUACAGUUUGAUUUUUCCCUCCAGAGAACACAGACAGUUGAGCUCCCAUGGAAGAGGAGGAAAGUAGUAGAAAGUGUGAAGGACAAUUAGACAAACAGCUUGACACGUUCCAGAAUGAAGAUAAAGGCAGCAGCGAGGAAUAAAACUGCAUUCACUGAAGUGAUCUGCACUUUCCACCAGAUGCUGGGCCCUAGAAAGGACAUCAGGCUGCCUUUGAGAUGCUAGGGUUCCACUCAAGAUUUUGGAAAAUAAAUCCAAGAAACCCUGCUACUAACUUCUUAAGCAUAUAUGGAACAAGAUGUCUGCCUCCUUGCUAGAAUGGAAGGAAUGGAAGAAGGAAAUGGAUCCUAUGCAGUACUGUGCCAGCUAUGCAGAUGCAUGGUCUACUUCUCCCUCUUGGACCCCUGACCUUCCAUGUGAACAAGCCUGAGCUAGAUUGCUGGAGGAUAAGAGAUAUGUGGAGAUGGCUACCCUGUGUGCAGGUGAACUCAGACACAUGGAGAUAAGAAGAACCACACAGUUGACUGAUCAAUUUGUGAUCAUUAGUGAAGGCUUAUUGUUUUAAACCAUUGUGUUUUGGGGAUAGUUUGUUACUCACCAAGAAACACCUACAAUUUGCUUUGCAUAACUUUGCAAUGUAUGGCAGACAUUUAUAAGAGUAAAAACAUUAGGAACUAUCUCAUUUUUUGAUGACCAUUUAGUAUUAGCAAUGUUGAUAAAUUAUAAUUUUUAAAUGU